RNAcentral lists this ribosomal RNA (485 nucleotides) under uncultured bacterium. Its description in RNAcentral is "bacterial SSU rRNA". It matches the Rfam family "Bacterial small subunit ribosomal RNA", at positions 30 to 507 of the family's 1533-position model. The record is from RNAcentral.
AUUGAACGCUGGCGGCAGUGCCCUUACACAUGCAAGUCGAACGGCAGCACGGGAGCAAUCCUGGUGGUGAGUGGCGAACGGGUGAGUAAUAUAUCGGAACGUGCCCAGUCGUGGGGGAUAACGUAGCGAAAGCUACGCUAAUACCGCAUACGAUCUAUGGAUGAAANCGGGGGAUCGCAAGACCUCGCGCGAUUGGAGCGGCCGAUAUCGGAUUAGGUAGUUGGUGAGGUAAAGGCUCACCAAGCCGACGAUCUGUAGCUGGUCUGAGAGGACGACCAGCCACACUGGGACUGAGACACGGCCCAGACUCCUACGGGAGGCAGCAGUGGGGAAUUUUGGACAAUGGGCGCAAGCCUGAUCCAGCAAUGCCGCGUGCAGGAUGAAGGCCUUCGGGUUGUAAACUGCUUUGUACGGAACGAAACGGUGAGCUCUAAUACAGUUUGCUAAUGACGGUACCGUAAGAAUAAGCACCGGCUAACUACGUG